This 123-nucleotide ribosomal RNA is filed under the name Dendroctonus ponderosae (mountain pine beetle). Lineage: Eukaryota; Metazoa; Arthropoda; Insecta; Coleoptera; Curculionidae. The record is from RNAcentral.
GGUAACGACCAUACCACGUUGAAUAAUACCGGUUUCCUUCCGAUCACCGAAGUUAAACAACGUCGGGUGCGGAUGGUACUUGGAUGGGUGACCGCUUGGGAACACCGCGUGCCGUUGUCUUUU